This 162-nucleotide small nucleolar RNA is filed under the name Triticum aestivum (bread wheat). RNAcentral describes it as "Plant small nucleolar RNA U3". It matches the Rfam family "Plant small nucleolar RNA U3". Rfam says of the family: Small nucleolar RNAs (snoRNAs) are involved in the processing and modification of rRNA in the nucleolus. There are two main classes of snoRNAs: the box C/D class, and the box H/ACA class. Lineage: Eukaryota; Viridiplantae; Streptophyta; Magnoliopsida; Poales; Poaceae. The record is from Rfam by way of RNAcentral.
ACGACCUUACUUGAACAGGAUCUGUUCUAUAGGCUCGUACCGCUGCAUCCGUUACCAAUAAGGAGGUAAGCACUUCAGUCUGGUUGAUGCAUUCUCACCUCUGGGCCAGAGCGUGAUUGUUCACACUGGUGCAGGGUGGCUCAGUGGUUGUCUUGACAGACU